GAUUUCCAUUUUUGCGGUUUUUCAUCAUGAAAAUCUUCAGUGUGCUUCUUAGUAUAGAGCAUGUAAUAGAUCCUUAAGCCAAUGCUGACCUUUGUCCAUGAAGGAAGAGGGACAUCCAGCAACGUUCUGCCCCUACCUUAUCUUCCCGACGUACGCUUAUCUAGCUUCACUGCUUUUGCUGCUACAACUUGUCUUACUUCACCGACGAGUUGGAACACUUCAGUGGUCGCUACCUCCUUUGCUGUUACACACCUGCAGUUACUCACCACGGGAUUAUGCCCAGGUUAUGCAGAAGAGACGUCGAGAAGAUGGACACCAAAACAUCGCCGGUA
This 332-nucleotide long non-coding RNA is filed under the name Daphnia pulicaria. RNAcentral's name for it is "uncharacterized LOC124326792". The record is from RNAcentral. Lineage: Eukaryota; Metazoa; Arthropoda; Branchiopoda; Diplostraca; Daphniidae.